GACGAACGCUGGCGGCGUGCUUAACACAUGCAAGUCGAACGGUAAGGCCCUUCGGGGUACACGAGUGGCGAACGGGUGAGUAACACGUGGGUGAUCUGCCCUGCACUUCGGGAUAAGCCUGGGAAACUGGGUCUAAUACCGGAUAGGACUCCGGACUGCAUGGUCUGGGGUGGAAAGCUUUUGCGGGGUGGGAUGGGCCCGCGGCCUAUCAGCUUGUUGGUGGGGUGAUGGCCUACCAAGGCGACGACGGGUAGCCGGCCUGAGAGGGUGACCGGCCAGACUGGGACUGAGAUACGGCCCAGACUCCUACGGGAGGCAGCAGUGGGGAAUAUUGCACAAUGGGCGCAAGCCUGAUGCAACGACGCCGCGUGAGGGAUGACGGCCUUCGGGCUGUAAACCUCUUUCAGCAUCGACGAAGCGAAAGUGACGGUAGGUGCAGAAGAAGGACCGGCCAACUACGUGCCAGCAGCCGCGGUAA
RNAcentral lists this ribosomal RNA (478 nucleotides) under uncultured bacterium. RNAcentral's name for it is "partial 16S ribosomal RNA". It matches the Rfam family "Bacterial small subunit ribosomal RNA", at positions 28 to 523 of the family's 1533-position model. The record is from RNAcentral.